Molecule: ribosomal RNA, 516 nt
Filed under: uncultured bacterium
Lineage: Bacteria
Description: bacterial SSU rRNA
Rfam family: Bacterial small subunit ribosomal RNA
Source: RNAcentral
GAUCAUGGCUCAGGAUGAACGCUAGCUACAGGCUUAACACAUGCAAGUCGAGGGGCAGCAUGGUCUUAGCUUGCUAAGGCCGAGUGGCGACCGGCGCGACGGGUGAGUAACGCGUAUCCAACCUUCCCCUUAGUAGGGCAUAGCCCGUAGAAAUGCGGAUUAAUACCCUAUGUUGUCAGUAGAGGACAUCUGAAGUUGACCAAAGGUUCACCGCUAAGGGAUGGGGAUGCGUCCGAUUAGGCAGUCGGCGGGGUAACGGCCCACCGAGCCGUCGAUCGGUAGGGGUUCUGAGAGGAAGGUCCCCCACACUGGUACUGAGACACGGACCAGACUCCUACGGGAGGCAGCAGUGAGGAAUAUUGGUCAAUGGGCGUAAGCCUGAACCAGCCAAGUAGCGUGCAGGACGACGGCCCUACGGGUUGUAAACUGCUUUUAUGCGGGGAUAACCGGCGCCACGCGUGGCGCCCUGCAGGUACCGCAUGAAUAAGGACCGGCUAAUUCCGUGCCAGCCGCGGC